This 410-nucleotide ribosomal RNA is filed under the name Spinoctenus sp. Its description in RNAcentral is "partial large subunit ribosomal RNA". The stretch from base 273 to 410 matches the Rfam family "Archaeal large subunit ribosomal RNA", at positions 2542 to 2681 of the family's 2987-position model. The record is from RNAcentral. Lineage: Eukaryota; Metazoa; Arthropoda; Arachnida; Araneae; Ctenidae.
UGAAACUUAAAUAGCCGCAAUACGUGCUAAGGUAGUAAAAUAAUUUGUCUUAUAAUUGAAGACCAAUCAAAAGAUUUAACAUUUUAAUUAAUAUAAAAUUUUAUAUAUAUAAAUUAUUUCAAUUAUAAUAAAAUAAUUAUUUUAUAAAAAGACGACAAGACCCUAUUAAACUUUACUUUAGUUAAACUGGGGUAGUUAAUUAAACAUAUUUUAAUAUAAAUAAAAGUAAAUUUGACCUAAUAUUAUUAAUUAUAAAAACAAGUUACUAUAGGGAUAACAGCGUAAUUUUUUUCUGAAGUACUUAUAGAAAAAAAAGAUUGCGACCUCGAUGUUGAAUUAAUAUUCUAUUUUAUGUAAAAAUAAAUAAAGAGAGUCUGUUCGACUUUUAAACAAUUACAUGAUCUGAGUUC